RNAcentral lists this ribosomal RNA (625 nucleotides) under Microbacterium maritypicum. RNAcentral describes it as "bacterial SSU rRNA". It matches the Rfam family "Bacterial small subunit ribosomal RNA", at positions 59 to 695 of the family's 1533-position model. The record is from RNAcentral. Lineage: Bacteria; Bacillati; Actinomycetota; Actinomycetes; Micrococcales; Microbacteriaceae.
CAGUCGAACGGUGAGCAGGAGCUUGCUCUUGUGGAUCAGUGGCGAACGGGUGAGUAACACGUGAGCAACCUGCCCCUGACUCUGGGAUAAGCGCUGGAAACGGCGUCUAAUACUGGAUAUGUGACGUGACCGCAUGGUCUGCGUUUGGAAAGAUUUUUCGGUUGGGGAUGGGCUCGCGGCCUAUCAGCUUGUUGGUGAGGUAAUGGCUCACCAAGGCGUCGACGGGUAGCCGGCCUGAGAGGGUGACCGGCCACACUGGGACUGAGACACGGCCCAGACUCCUACGGGAGGCAGCAGUGGGGAAUAUUGCACAAUGGGCGAAAGCCUGAUGCAGCAACGCCGCGUGAGGGAUGACGGCCUUCGGGUUGUAAACCUCUUUUAGCAGGGAAGAAGCGAAAGUGACGGUACCUGCAGAAAAAGCGCCGGCUAACUACGUGCCAGCAGCCGCGGUAAUACGUAGGGCGCAAGCGUUAUCCGGAAUUAUUGGGCGUAAAGAGCUCGUAGGCGGUUUGUCGCGUCUGCUGUGAAAUCCCGAGGCUCAACCUCGGGCCUGCAGUGGGUACGGGCAGACUAGAGUGCGGUAGGGGAGAUUGGAAUUCCUGGUGUAGCGGUGGAAUGCGCAGAU